AAACCCCUUUCAGUUGGGACGAAGCUUCGCCGGUUAAUAGCCGGCUGGAGUGACGGUACCUUCAGAAGAAGCUCCGGCUAACUACGUGCCAGCAGCCGCGGUAAUACGUAGGGAGCUAGCGUUGUCCGGAAUCAUUGGGCGUAAAGCGCGUGUAGGCGGCCCGGUAAGUCCGCUGUGAAAGUCGGGGGCUCAACCCUCGGAUGCCGGUGGAUACUGUCGGGCUCGAGUACGGAAGAGGCGAGUGGAAUUCCUGGUGUAGCGGUGGAAUGCGUAGAGAUCCGGAAGAACACCGGUGGCGAAGGCGGCCCGCUGGGCAGUGGCUGACACUGAGGCGCGACAGCGUGGGGAGCAAACAGGAUUAGAUACCCUGGUAGUCCACGCCGUAAACGAUGGGCACUAGGUGCCUGGGGGAGCGACCCCCCGGGUGCCGGCGCUAACGCAUUAAGUGCCCCGCCUGGGGAGUACGGCCGCAAGGCUGAAACUCAAAGGAAUUGACGGGGGCCCGCACAAGCGGUGGAGCAUGUGGUUUAAUUCGACGCAACGCGAAGAACCUUACCUGGGCUUGACAUGCACGGGAAACCCUCCAGAAACGGGGGGCCCUCUUCGGAGUCCGUGCACAG
Molecule: ribosomal RNA, 620 nt
Filed under: uncultured bacterium
Lineage: Bacteria
Description: bacterial SSU rRNA
Rfam family: Bacterial small subunit ribosomal RNA
Source: RNAcentral